AAUAGUGCUGCUGUGUGAACAUAGGUAUGAAUGUAUCUUUUUGAAUUAUAGUUUUGUUUUAAUAAGGAAAAUCCUUUUUUGGGCUUCAUUCUUGAAAUUAAAACUGGGCCAAUAGCCUGAGAGCAGAACAGUGCUCUGUCCUUGCUAACUUUUUGAUCAUUGCAGCUCUAUCAAAGCCAAAUAUAGAUCUGGAUUUUACUAGAUUUGGCAGGAUUAUAGCAAACCUUGAAUCCCGUACAGAAAUCUCUCUUAAGAGAUUUCAUCUCUUGAGGUCAAAAUAGAGGCCCUAAUAUAGUAUCUUUGGAAGAAGGAAAUUUUGUGGAUAUUGACUAGAUGAACUGCUUUUCUGGUGAUAUCUUUUUAUUUUUUGCUUUGCUACUUAUGCACAGGCUCUGUGGUGAGACUGAGCUCAAAUUCUAGAUCCACCAUUUACUAACUGUAUGACCUUGGGGAAGUUAUUUAACCUCUGUGUGCCUCAAUUUCCUUAUUUGAAAAAGGAUGCUAAUAAUUGCACCUAACUGUAAGGGUGUUAUGAAGAUUAAAGGAGAUAAUGCACCUAAGUGCUUAACAGAGUGCUCGGUGUAUAAUAAGCCCUCAAUAAAUGUUAGCUGGUAGUAGUUUUUGUUUCCAGUGCCUCAUCCUUUGUUCACACUUUGUUUUUAUAUUCUGGGUAUUAUAUAGUAAAAAUGGAGAAGGGGUCAUUGAUACAGUCUUCUAAAAACUGAUUUCAGAUUUAGUAGGAAAAACAUUGGACUGGGAGAUAAGAGUUUUGGGUUCUAAUCCUGGCUUUGACAUUAACUAUUUGCAUGAGACUGGGCAACUCUUAGAGUUUCCUUACCAAUUAAAUUGAGGUAGCUGCACUAGAUGUCUCUGACAUGCCUUCUAGUGCUCAAGUCUUGUGACAUUAAGCUUCAAUUAGAAAUCUUUGGUUUGGGGACCUCUUUAUUAUCCCAUAGCUUUUAACCUUGUUUCCCUUCUCAUUGCCCAGUAGGAAUUGGACUAGUGUUAGUGGAAGGUGGGUUAGGGAGAGGAGGUAGGAGUCUCAGUGCAUUUGGGUGGAAGAAAGUUAUUGGCAAGUGGGAAGAAGUGCUCUUGCGACUCAUGUUUGUUCAUUAAAAUUAGAAGGAAAUGGGACUUCCUCUAAUGGGACCACUGGGUGGUCCAGUGGCGAAGACUUGGUGCUCCCAGUGCAGGGGGCCCGGGUUCAAUCCGUGGUCAGGGAACUAGAUCCCACAUGCCACAACUAAGAUUUUGCAUGCCGCAACUAAAGAUCCCGCAUGCAGCAAUGAAGAUUCCGUGUGCUGCAACUAAGGCCCAGCGCAGCCUAAAUAAAUAAUAAAUAAAUAAAUAAAUAAAUAAAAUUUAAAAAAAGGUUAGAAGGAAAGAAUUGAAUCAGGUCUUAAUUAAUAGUGUCUUUACUUCCCUCCCCCUUUAUUAUUAUCAGAGGUCAGAGCUGAUUAGCAAAAUGCAUUUACCCAAGUAUUUUCAGGGUUCCUGUUUAUAGAGUCCAAAUAAUAUUGUUAGUUACUUUUAUCAGCAUAUGCCCCUAAAGGUAGAUUCAGUGAACUUAACGUGUCAAAGCUUAAUUGAAGACAAGCUCCAGUCUUAGUUCAAACUAGCUAAAUUCAGGGUUGUAUUCUACGAAUUUUGUUUCUAAUCAAUGGAUGAUGGGGUUAUUUGGAGAGGAUUUUUAAUAUAUACAACUCCUAUGGUAGCAUUUUGUUAUUUAAUAAAUACUUCAGUCUGAUUUCUUCUUUUGCUUUUUCUUCACCAGUUUCUCUAGAUGCCCAGAUGAAGGCAAUAUCACGUUUAAUCAGAGUUUAUCAUUUUGAGCAUUAAAUUCUCAGCUUGGAUUAUUUCAAUUCAAUUUCCCAAGAUAUAAAUUCUCCAAAAGAGGAAAUUUAUAACCCUCUGUGAUACUGACCCUGCCUAAAGCAAUAGAAUAGCUAUAGUGGCAAAAUCUAAAUAAUAGUAAUAAUAGCUUCUAUUUACAGAGUCCUACUGUAUAUUAUACAUGGCAUUGUAUUGAAUAUGUUAUUUUAUUAAUCCCGAGAACAACCCUAUGAGCUGGGUACUUUUGUUAUACCUGUUUUACAUUAGAAGAAAUUGUGCUUAGAGAUGUUAAGCAAAUUUGACAAAGUGUAAAGCUAGUAAGUCGUGGAGCUUGAAUUCCAAACUAGAUCUGCCUGAGUCAGGGCUUUCUUUUAUGUUCUUAUUCACGAAAGACUCAUUGAACAGAAAGGAGUGAGUGUUGGGCACAUGCAGCUUGGUGAUUCUGUAUAAAUCCUGUCAGAUUUUGAAUAGUGUAGACCUGAUAAAGUCAUUGUUAAUUUCUCAUCAUUACAGGACACUCAGUGUGGCAAAAAUCAGUAUCAUGGGAAGAGAUGUUAAUGUAGUAGGCAGACUAACAUUUUUUUUUUGGUUGUUGUUGUUGGUUAUUGCUCUAGCAACUACUACAAAGGCUGCAUUUACUCCACAAGUCAUGUAUACUUAAGGCAGAACACUGACUGCUUUUCAUGCUGGCAAAUCCGUACUUUACCAGUAUUGGCUACCUGUAAGGAAUGUGAGCAUGUUGGGUUUUAGAACAGGAAAAACACAACUUCCACCUCAUUUCACAGUAGAGUUCACUUAGGGAUACAGACUUUUUGGUGACAGUAGCUGGUACUUUCUGCUUGUUAUUUCUGAUACUUGCAUAAUGCUAACCUGGUAGAUACUGUCAGAUGACAAGCCUUCCUCCUACAUGUUCUCCAUAAAAGAACUGCUAGUGACAAGUAUUUUAUUAUAUUGAGAAUUUUGCUUCAUACUGUUUUAGGAUAAAGUGUAUUUAUCGUGAAGCCAGUAUUGUGAAAUGUUCUUUCUUUUCUUCCUCUGGAAUGUGGCAUUUUUUUUCUCAGUAAUGAACUAAGAUGCAAGUGCAUUGUGAAGGAGAAGUUGUUGCCCAGAUGGACCCCAGUGAAAGUAACUUAUGUAAAUAGAUUCUGCUUCUGUUUGGGAAAAUGAUCUAAGAUGGAUGCUGUGGUUUUUCUUUCCCUUGGGAGACUAAUACUUUAUCCCAAUAUUCGCAACUUAAGGUCAGCGUCUACUCCAGAGUCAGGAAGUUUUUUAGAUGUUACUAUCAUGUUCAGACUGUAGGCUUUACUAAGUGGCAAGGGGAAUUUAGGCUAGAUACAAAGACAGGUUUGGAAAAGCAUGGUAAGUUCUGGAAACUGUAAAUGGUUUCAUAAGGGCCAAAGCACAAUGACAGUGUGAGGAAGUGCCAAGAGAUGAGAAAGGAUAGAUUAGUAGAGACCAGGUAAUGAAGGAGCUUUGCAUUUUAUGCUAAGAAAUUUGGAUUUGUUCCCAUAGAUAAUGGAGAAACUUCUGAUAUCUUUUAAGAAGGGGGAAGAUAGAAUCAAAUUUGAUUUUAUUAACUCAUGUGGCAACGUGGAAGGUGGAUUGAAGGUAGAGAGACUCCUUUAUUCAUUAGGAGACUGUUGUGAUCAUUCAAGCAAGGAAUAAUGACCUGAGUUAGAGAGUUGUUCUAGGGGUACAGAGAAGGGUGUGCUUUAUUCAUUCAUUAUUUGAGAAAUGUUUAAGUCCCUGUUAUGUGUCAGACAGAGAGUUAGUUGUACAUUGGGUUAACAAGGUGAACAUGAUACACUUAAUGCCUUCAGGGAGCUUCCAGUCUAGUGUUAUUUGUCUAUAUUUGACAAGUAACAGGCAAUUACAGUUUUCAGAUACUAUAACAAGGAGCUUAUGAUAGCAUGUAGACCUUAACCCAGCCUCAGGGAGCAGGGACUCCUUUUUAGGAAAGCAUGAGUAGAAGUCAGCUAAGUAAAGUUGUGCAAGAUGUAGGGGUGGGGAUUUGGGGUGUUGGAAAGACACAAAUGUUUCAGUUGAGGAAAUUGUGGCUGGAGGAGGUGAGAGAAAAACUCUAGCUUGUUUACGGAACUAUGGAUCGUUUAGUGUGGCUGGAUUGUGGAGGGCAGGGAAGUGGGUUGCGAGAAAUGAGGCCAGGGGAAUUAACCAGUCACCUUAUGAACUAUGAGGAGGAGUUUGCUUAAGAGCAAGUGAACUGUUUUAAGGUGGAGAGGGUCAUGAUAAAAUUAGACCUUUAGAAAAAUCCCUCCGGCUGCUUCGUGGAGGACUGGGAGAGGAGGAGGAUAACAAGGUGUCAGGGAGGUAGGGGAGGGUUUUUUAUUUGUUUGUUUUAUUUUUUGAAGCAGAAGGAAGACUGAAGAAGGGAGUGGUCGGUUUUGUCUGAGACUGUUGGGAAGUCCUUAAGAUAGAGACUGGGAAGUAUCUACUGAAUUUGCUAUGAGUGGGUCAGUUGGUGACCUUUGUGAGGAGAGUUUCCGUGGAGUAGUUGGGGUGGGAGGCAGAUUCCACGGAGUUGAGGAGUGUUAGGUGAGGAGGUGGCAGCACUUGUCCUAGCAGAUUGGCCAUGAGGAGGUAAGCUGCCGCUGGGAGAAAAGGGAAGAGGAAGAGCCAAGUAAGUGACUGAAGGUUCUAAUGAGAUUGAAGAGUAUCUGUUGCUGUGGUCGCUCCAAGGGGAACAGUGAGGUGGGGGAGGAGAAUUAACAUUUAUUUGAAUGCUUGUUUGAAGGCUUGUUGUUCCUCAUAAUUUUGCAGGACGGGUAUUAUGAUUGUUAGAAAAGUCCGUCUAGCUUGAUGCAGAUAUGGAACUUCAGGAUUUCAAGACUUGAAGUAGUUAUGGAUUAUGACUAAUCCAGGAGUGGGAUUGGGACAACAAAGUAGAGUGGAGAUAAAGGUCCUUGGCAAUAAGGUCAUAGUUAUGGGAAGUUGCCUAGGAUGGUUGUAACUAGGACGGAAAAGGCAGAGACAGAUGCCAGAUUCUUCUUGUUCACGUAAAAGAAUAAAACAGUCAGUUAUUUUACCAGCAAAGCUGGCUUAUUUGGGAGCAGCAUAGAAUUGCACUUCAGAACAUGCAACUAUGUCAAACCACAAAUGAUAGUCUGGUAAAGCAAAGGAGAGGGAACUCUUUUAUAGAGGAGAAGGGGAAGUUGGGAGGGGCUGUUAUACACAAAAAGUCCUUUGGAGGGACCUGGGAAUUCGAAGGAUAGUGGGCUUUUCAUUUGCUGAGUUGUGAGUCUCUCAUUGGCUGAGCUGUUGCCUGGCGAGGGGAAAAUCUUCCUCCUGCUGUCAGAGAUGCAAAGUACAUCUCUUCCUGCUGGGAUCUGUGCUGAUGACAAGUGGUAUGUGCGUGAGAGCUCCCCCUUCUGGCCUCCUGACUCCAUUUUAGUGAGGUUUCCCUUUAUUAGUUUUCACAUUCUCCAUAUAUUGAAAGUUUUCACAUUCUCCAUAUAUUGAAAGAUGACCUGGAAAUGACUUAUGACAUUGACUUAGAUAGUAGUGUAGUUGAGUGACAGCUCAACCUCCCUGGAGAGGAAGGUUUCCCUGCUGUCCCCCCACCUAUCUGAACGUGGGAGAACUUUGGGGAGAGGGAAUUAUGAUAUCCCAUAUUCUAGUUCCUAUUUAUGAGGAAAAUUUGCCAAGAAGGUAGACUUUUUUAGUUGAGCUCCUUUGCUGAGAGAUCAGUGAAUGCUCUUUUAUGAAUAGAUUUAGUCUGUGAUUUCUCUGUGGAGAAGAUUACUGUCAGUUUUUUUUCAUAUGAAUGUGUUUGGAAAACUGCUGCUAAGCAACCUUUUGUCAUUUCCUAAUGUUUCUAUAAUCUGGUGUCAAUGUCUAAUGAUCUCAUUGGACUAGUGAUCUUCCCUCCAGCUAUGCUGGCAUCAAGUAAGUACAUUAAUAAACUUUAAGAAAUGCAUUCAUUAAAAUCCAGGUAAUCACUUUGGAGCAGGCCUUGGCAGUGUGUGAAUGAGCUGGACAAGUUAGAGAAAAUCUUGAGCCCGAAAGCUACUUUGUCUUUCAGGUUGGUUUGGGCACGGUAACAAGAGAUGAAUCAGUUGUAAUUUAAUGGGAUCUGUCAUUACUUUUAUAAGAUAUAUCACUUUAAUAUGAUGCUUUGUCAUUAAUGUUUUAGUAAUAUGAUAGUCUUAAAGAGAGUUGAUAUUCCCCCUGUUUUAUUAUUUCUUGGCUCCAUGACAGGACUAUGCAUUAAAAUGCACUUAAUAUUUUAAAAGGGAUGUCUAGGAAAGUAGUUAAAAAACAAACAAAUCCCAAGUGGCUUGAUCUGAUUCAUAAACCCUAACGAUGUGCAGCUAAUUGCAGAUAGAUUUUAUUUUUCAAGGUAUUGUGUCACCUCUCUUGUGUAUACCUUCUAUAUUGGAGCAUAAGUCAUAGAAAUGUUAUUUUGCCCAACAUUGGGUUUGAGAAAAUAGUUUCCAAGACAGGAAUAGCAGAACAGUGUUAUUUUAUGCUGUACUUUCCCCUUUUAUAUAAGCCUGCUAAAGUUCAGAGGUCAGGCAAAGAGGUUUUGGAGGUAAAAGUGAGCUGAUAGAAAUUUUUAGCAACAAUGAAAAAACAUAUAAUUAUCUAAUAUACAAACUUCAUAUUAGAUAUACCUUAUAUACGUAUCACCCACAAUCAGAUAAAUGCCAGUUACAAUGACAGUCGUUUUUACUUGCCAAAAUGGCAAAGCUUUAUUUAAAAAGAGAUCAUACUCAGUGUUGCUCUGGGGGCAGGGGACUAGAUAGGCACAACUUUAGUGGUACAUAUCCACAAUGUGUCAACAGCUUUCAAAGUGUAUACUCUUUGACUUAGCAGUUUCAUUUUUAGAAGUUUGUCUUACAGAAAUAAUUGCAGGUCAAAACGAAAAUGUACCCAUAAGAAUAUUUACUGAAACAUCGUUUGGAAUAGCAACAAAAAGAAACAAAACAAAACCCAAAAAGUCUAAUCCUGGAAGAGCAAUUUUAAAUUAUGACACAUUUUCAUAACGUUGUAGAAAACUAAAGACAUUGAAAGAUAAACAAUAUGUGUUCUUAAGUGGAAAAAGCAUAUUUCAUAGGCCAUGACCAGUUUAUGGGAUUCGUUUGGGAAGAUACUAAAUUAAAGCAACGUAUGGAAAGAUGAUUUGUAUUUAAAGCCAGAUCGCUAGAUCGUGGAAAAUUGAAGCAUUUUCCUGAAUUGCUUCCUCAGAUCAAGAAUAUUUUUCAAUUAAAGGCCUUCUUAGAGAUCCAGCUGCCUCCUGUGUCUCACAAGAUUCUACUCUUACCGAUCUGCUAAGACCUACAAAUAUGUUGAACUUCAAACUGAUAUAAAAACAAGUGUUCAUCUGGAUUGACUAAGAUAGCAGUUAGGAUUGUAAUUAAUUUGCCAUUGCCGAUCUACCCGGAGCUUAGAAGAAUCACAGAUUUUUAAGAAUUUUAGAGGAAUUGAAGUUGCAGUUUCAGAAAAGUUGCAGGACAUUUACGGUUUGGAAGUGUAAUUGGAACACAAACAUCUAUCUAUGGCUUAAUUAUCAAACACUUGGCCUGUUAUGGCAACUUCAUGUAAAGAAGUGAUGGAUAUAAAAGUCAACUGUAUCUACCAAUAAAAAAACAUCAAAAUGCUUUAAACUUUGUAUUUGAACCUAUGAUUCCAGGACUGUUCUAACAUAUUUUAACUCUAUGGUCAAACUCUAGGCAAGUUUGGUUCCCUUAUGUUUGUGCAAAUACAUUUUUUUCAUAAACCUUUUGAAGUAAAAGCUAAGAAUUAUGAUUAGUUGUGUAAGUCUGGAAUCUGAUUUGAAAUGUUCCUUGAUUUCAUAUCCCUUUGUUCUUGAAGGUAGUAUCUCUAUAGUUGUCAAUAUUCUCUUUGAUUUAUUCAAAAUGGAUCAGUUAAUAAAAUUAGUUCCCUAACUG
Molecule: long non-coding RNA, 7742 nt
Organism: Delphinapterus leucas (beluga whale)
Lineage: Eukaryota; Metazoa; Chordata; Mammalia; Artiodactyla; Monodontidae
Source: RefSeq, a predicted model, not a curated record